Molecule: ribosomal RNA, 1282 nt
Filed under: uncultured Enterobacteriaceae bacterium
Lineage: Bacteria; Pseudomonadati; Pseudomonadota; Gammaproteobacteria; Enterobacterales; Enterobacteriaceae
Description: bacterial SSU rRNA
Rfam family: Bacterial small subunit ribosomal RNA
Source: RNAcentral
CCCAGAUGGGAUUAGCUAGUAGGUGGGGUAACGGCUCACCUAGGCGACGAUCCCUAGCUGGUCUGAGAGGAUGACCAGCCACACUGGAACUGAGACACGGUCCAGACUCCUACGGGAGGCAGCAGUGGGGAAUAUUGCACAAUGGGCGCAAGCCUGAUGCAGCCAUGCCGCGUGUAUGAAGAAGGCCUUCGGGUUGUAAAGUACUUUCAGCGGGGAGGAAGGGAGUAAAGUUAAUACCUUUGCUCAUUGACGUUACCCGCAGAAGAAGCACCGGCUAACUCCGUGCCAGCAGCCGCGGUAAUACGGAGGGUGCAAGCGUUAAUCGGAAUUACUGGGCGUAAAGCGCACGCAGGCGGUUUGUUAAGUCAGAUGUGAAAUCCCCGGGCUCAACCUGGGAACUGCAUCUGAUACUGGCAAGCUUGAGUCUCGUAGAGGGGGGUAGAAUUCCAGGUGUAGCGGUGAAAUGCGUAGAGAUCUGGANGGAAUACCGGUGGCGAAGGCGGCCCCCUGGACGAAGACUGACGCUCAGGUGCGAAAGCGUGGGGAGCAAACAGNGAUUAGAUACCCUGGUAGUCCACGCCGUAAACGAUGUCGACUUGGAGGUUGUGCCCUUGAGGCGUGGCUUCCGGAGCUAACGCGUUAAGUCGACCGCCUGGGGAGUACGGCCGCAANGNGUUAAAACUCAAAUGAAUUGACGGGGGCCCGCACAAGCGGUGGAGCAUGUGGUUUAAUUCGAUGCAACGCGAAGAACCUUACCUGGUCUUGACAUCCACGGAAGUUUUCAGAGAUGAGAAUGUGCCUUCGGGAACCGUGAGACAGGUGCUGCAUGGCUGUCGUCAGCUCGUGUUGUGAAAUGUUGGGUUAAGUCCCGCAACGAGCGCAACCCUUAUCCUUUGUUGCCAGCGGUCCGGCCGGGAACUCAAAGGAGACUGCCAGUGAUAAACUGGAGGAAGGUGGGGAUGACGUCAAGUCAUCAUGGCCCUUACGACCAGGGCUACACACGUGCUACAAUGGCGCAUACAAAGAGAAGCGACCUCGCGAGAGCAAGCGGACCUCAUAAAGUGCGUCGUAGUCCGGAUUGGAGUCUGCAACUCGACUCCAUGAAGUCGGAAUCGCUAGUAAUCGUGGAUCAGAAUGCCACGGUGAAUACGUUCCCGGGCCUUGUACACGCCGCCCGUCACACCAUGGGAGUGGGUUGCAAAAGAAGUAGGUAGCUUAACCUUCGGGAGGGCGCUUACCACUUUGUGAUUCAUGACUGGGGUGAAGUCGUAACAAGGUAACC